CCUCCUUCAAGAUGAGAUUUCCCAUAGCGUAAGCUAGUAAGACCCCUUGAAGACUACAAGGUUGAUAGGUCAGAGGUGUAAGUAUGGCAACAUAUUUAGCUGACUGAUACUAAUAGGUCGAGGGCUUGACCAA
This 133-nucleotide ribosomal RNA is filed under the name Clostridium aquiflavi. RNAcentral's name for it is "partial 23S ribosomal RNA". It matches the Rfam family "Bacterial large subunit ribosomal RNA", at positions 2793 to 2925 of the family's 2925-position model. The record is from RNAcentral. Lineage: Bacteria; Bacillati; Bacillota; Clostridia; Eubacteriales; Clostridiaceae.